UACAGAGACUGCAAGCGUUAUUCGGAUUCACUGGGCGUAAAGGGUGCGCAGGCGGUUGGGUGUGUCAGAUGUGAAAUCCCGAGGCUCAACCUCGGAACUGCGUCUGAAACUACUCGACUAGAGUACUGGAGAGGGUAACGGAAUUCACGGUGUAGCAGUGAAAUGCGUAGAUAUCAGGAGGAACACCGAUGGCGAAGGCAGGUCUCUGGGCUGACACUGACGCUCAUGCACGAAAGCGUGGGGAGCA
RNAcentral lists this ribosomal RNA (247 nucleotides) under uncultured bacterium. RNAcentral's name for it is "partial 16S ribosomal RNA". It matches the Rfam family "Bacterial small subunit ribosomal RNA", at positions 524 to 770 of the family's 1533-position model. The record is from RNAcentral.